GCGCUCGUAGCUCAGCUGGAUAGAGUACCUGGCUACGAACCAGAUAGGCAAACGUUCGAAUCCUCUCGGACGCGCCA
Molecule: transfer RNA, 77 nt
Filed under: Vibrio cholerae
Lineage: Bacteria; Pseudomonadati; Pseudomonadota; Gammaproteobacteria; Vibrionales; Vibrionaceae
Description: tRNA-Arg
Rfam family: tRNA
About the family: Transfer RNA (tRNA) molecules are approximately 80 nucleotides in length. Their secondary structure includes four short double-helical elements and three loops (D, anti-codon, and T loops).
Source: RNAcentral